UCCUCCCUCUUUCUUCGUGCUUAACACAUGCAAGUCGAACGGAAAGGCCCUGCUUGCAGGGUACUCGAGUGGCGAACGGGUGAGUAACACGUGGGUGAUCUGCCCUGCACUUCGGGAUAAGCCUGGGAAACUGGGUCUAAUACCGGAUAGGAGCCAUUUUUAGUGUGAUGGUUGGAAAGUUUUUUCGGUGUAGGAUGAGCUCGCGGCCUAUCAGCUUGUUGGUGGGGUAAUGGCCUACCAAGGCGGCGACGGGUAGCCGGCCUGAGAGGGUGGACGGCCACAUUGGGACUGAGAUACGGCCCAGACUCCUACGGGAGGCAGCAGUGGGGAAUAUUGCACAAUGGGCGCAAGCCUGAUGCAGCGACGCCGCGUGGGGGAUGACGGCCUUCGGGUUGUAAACGCCUUUCGCUAGGGACGAAGCUUUUUGUGACGGUACCUAGAUAAGAAGCACCGGCUAACUACGUG
RNAcentral lists this ribosomal RNA (465 nucleotides) under uncultured bacterium. RNAcentral's name for it is "partial 16S ribosomal RNA". It matches the Rfam family "Bacterial small subunit ribosomal RNA", at positions 36 to 507 of the family's 1533-position model. The record is from RNAcentral.